Molecule: long non-coding RNA, 4132 nt
Filed under: Gallus gallus (chicken)
Lineage: Eukaryota; Metazoa; Chordata; Aves; Galliformes; Phasianidae
Source: RNAcentral
CUUCUCUUGUAGAGUCUUUCCUGUGAGCCUUGAUCUUCAGAGAUGGACUGACACAAAUGACAGGACAAAGAAGCAUGCGUGGAAAUAAAAUGAAAAUUCAGAACAGAUGUCAGGACAUGUUUUUCAUGCUGAAUGUGCAGAGCGGUCAACCAGUGCAACUCUCCACAAUACAGAGUGAGACUUUCGUGUCUGUGUGUGUUCCUGGCAUGUCCAACACGGCUACUGAUUUCAAGAGGAGCUCAAGGAAUGUGCAGGGAAGCUGACAGGCACUUUGGACAACUUAUCACAACACUAUGUGGCAUAAAUGUGAUGCAGCGUUUCAUAAAUUUGAUGAAGUACUUCCAAAACAACUGUUGACUUUUAAAAGCAUCCAACUUCCCUGAAAGUGGGAUAUUUACUGUAAGUGCAGAUUGUUGAGAUUCUCAGCUAAUUUGUUACCUGUGCUUCUUUAAUGUGUUUGUGAAUUCAUAAGAAUUUUGUAAUUGUAAGCCUUUAUGAGAUUAUUGUGUUUUAAACCAGACUUGACAGCACAAUAGAACCCAAUAAAAGAAAGCAUCAUUGCAUAAGGUCUGCUCAUACACCAAGAUGUGAAUGCCAACAAGAUGAAAGAUAAUUGACAAAGAAAGUGAAAUAUAAAAACUGCAUGUUUAUUUCUAUACUGCAUCCUCUUUGCAUCACUGUCUCAGGAAUCAAACAAAAAUACCAUUGUUGUUACAAUAAGAGCAGCUCUAAUAAAAAUGGAAGCAUUUAAGAGUUAAAGCAGCUUUCCAUCUUUAAAAGAUUAUUUAAUAUAACAUAUUUAAAUCUUCCUAUGUACUCAAGACAGUUUCCCCACUGUAAGCUGUUGGUAUUUGUUACAAUUAGAAAGAUUGGCAUGGAUGGGAUGGUGCUACCAGUGGAAAGAUUGGCGCAGACAAAAGAUGGUAUUACAAAAGGAAAGGUGCUCACCUAUCUCUGAAGAUCAAGACUCCCAGGCAGGACUCCACAAGGGAGAGAUAUCUAACCAGAGAUACUUCCCUAAUGGCAGUCAGCCCUUAAAUGAGGUCUAGGAGAGGUGCAGCCAGGCUCCACGCCUUCACCUGUACUCCCAGGCUGAGCCAGUCCUUUCCCCAGGUGCUCAAUCAGUGCUUCAGGCCAUGACUCAACAGUUCUCAUACAGUAUUACGUGCAGAUAUUCCUAUGCUAUUGUUUUGUUGAAAUUAAUUUCACUUUCAGCAUAAUGAGCAUUGGCAAAUUCAGAGUUUGCUACUGAAUAGACUGAAAAAAAGUCAGCAUUACACUGAUGGAUCAAGGAAUCUUUCAAAAUUUAGACACAGUAAAGAUGAUGGCCUCAACAGAAACUUCUCACUGUAUUUGUUGGUCAUUAUCCUCAUGUACAAAAAGAUGCACAGAUAGCUCUGUUAGAGGAAACAUUUUAAUGUGAGAACAAACUAUAGCAAAUUGAAACUGAGCAUGAUCAUAGAAAUGUGCUCACCACUGUAGGUGGCCACAAAAGAAAAGAAACAUCCUUCUGUUUCUGUUCACCCAAAAGCUACUGUCUGUCUGUGCUUUCCAGAUAUGGCCAAAUUUAAGACAUAACCCCUGUUAAAACCAGUGGUAAGUGGAAAGGGUAGUUUCACUGUACUACAUUUACGUAUCUUCAGCUAUCAUCACAGGAAGAACUUAAGAAUGGCAAUAUGUACUUCCUGAAGGAGUCUUGAAGGCUGCUUUACAAAUCUUUUCUAACUGUGCUUGUUUAAGAAGUUAUUCCCCUCUCCAACUCCAGGCUUCUUUGCCACAUUCUAUUUGAGCUACCGUGUGUAAUUGAACCUGGACAGAUUAAACUUAUCUGUGUUUAUAAAUUUUUUUCUUCAUUCCAUGAUUAAAUAUCAGAAUAAAUAGGGAAAAAGAUGAAUGCCUUGAGGCAUGGAUAAUGACGCCAAGACUUUACUAUCAACAACAGCCAAGUGUUCUGCAAACUGUUUGCUCUGAAAAUCCAGGCAGUUCCUCCAACAGCACUGACAUAUUAGUCCGGUUAGGAAUUUUUCAGUAAGUUGUGAAAUAAAGUGAUGGUAAAAGCCCAUCUAUCACUAAAAGAAUGAUAACAUCUGGAGUGAAAUGUGAGUCACAGAAGAGACAAAAAGGAGUAAUGAAUAUGCUCAUACACAAAAGCCAUGUAAUAAGGAAUAAACCAAAGUCUUACAGCAUAAUGAAAUUGACGCUUAACUGGCAAGUCAGAGGCUUUGGUGAAUACAUCAAAAGGUGACAAUACUGAUCUAGAAUAGUACAGUUACAAAGAGGAGAAGCAAGGAAAAAUAAAAGGCAUUUCAAUAUUUGCCAAAAAUUGCACUUUUCCUGUAGUUUUGGAGUUUAAACGGAACAGACAUAUAUCUCCGUAUAAAGAUAAAACAGGAAAAGAGCAGGCAACAUUUCAUGAUGAACUUGGACGAACUGAAGAAGAUGAUUAAUACCACUUAUUUGAACAGAGAUAGCCAUGAUAAAAGACGUGACAAGAAGGGAUGGAAAUCUGUUUUAAUUGUCCAAAUAUCUGUGGCAAAAUAGGAGGGCACAAGCAAAUUAUUUUGAUAUGUACUAUAUACAGGUUUCAGAAGAUGGAGAAAGGUUGUAGAGAAACAACAAUUUAUACAAGAAUCAAAUCAUAUAUUUAUAUAAGAAACAAAUUAUACAAGAAUACAAGAAUUACCUCAGAAACCACUGAGGUAAAAAAUCUUAAGGUGGAUGUGAUCAUGUGAAAGAGUUCAAGAAAAAAGGUAAUGAGAAUAAAAGAUCUGCUUUGUGAGAACAAACAGAAACAACAAAAACAAAAAAAGUAGACCAGUUCAGGAAUCUGCUAAUAGACUCUUGUGAAGAAACUUUAUGGAAAUAUUUUAGAGAAAAUGCACUUGUGACAUUAAAUAUUAAAGACACAGCAGUCACCUGGCGCAAUGGAGAAGAAAAAAGAAAUGUAACAAAGCAAUAUGGAAGACAAAGGAACUCUUUAGCUGAGCUGCAAAAUGACUUAUUGGUAUCAAAACAAGACAAUUUUCUGCCCAUUCUGAUUCAAUCUGUGGCAUACAAAUUAGUUGCAAAACAGAUUUUUCAUUUUAGUAAAGGCAAAUAUGUAGUGUCUAUAGUAGGAAAAGUAUAAGUUGAAGUAUUUAGAUGAACUGGGCGCACUUCAGGCGGCAAAGUUUGCUAGAAAAUUCACCUUAAAGUACUGAUAGAGCAAGUCAAGGUAAUCUCUGUACUAGAAGUGAUCAUUUUCAAGAAUAUAGGAAGACCUGGGGAAGUCCCACAGGACUGGAGAAAGAAAACACAGUAACUGUCCUUAAAAGAGGAAGAAAAGGGCCUUCAAGUAGACUGGGUUUUAGAAGGGCACCUUACUCAAAAUUAUAGGAAAGUGUAAUAUGUCCCAAACUACACAGAAACCAUUAUUCAGUUGUGCCUAGAAAUUGCUGGAUACAUAGCAGUUUUCUCUCAGCACAUUCACAGAUGUAAUUGCCUGGAUUGGUGCAUUACUUAUUGCAAAAAUUGUGACCAGGAGAACAUAAGAAGCUUGAGAAUAUUUCCUGUUGAAGACAAGACUAAGGACUCAGCUGGAUGAGCACAUCUAGGAGUCUGGGAUCACAGGAGGAGAGAAUGCAUGUGCCUCUAUCAGGAAAUCUGAGUCAAACUGGCACAACGUAAUUAACUUUGUGCCUCAGAUUGUUUUUAUUUUUACAUAUUUAUUUUUCCCUGCCACAAGAUACAGAUGAGUAUAUUUAGUUAGAAAAACAUGUUUAAUUGUACUUUGCAUAAAUUCUCAUUUAGAAAGAAAAUGUUUUUCAAAUAAAGUUCUUUAAAUGUUUUGUGAGACAUCUGGACUUUUUUUUAUGUAUAUAAAGGAUCUGAAAGGAAUUUAGAAUCCCAGACUCCUUGUGGUUCUCACAUCAUCAUAAAAAGGCAGCAUAUUAGAAUGUGUUUGCUGCUGGGAACUGACACUUCACAAUUAUUAAGGAAGUAAAACGUCUUCUACUAAGUACAGGUUUGAUCCUGUAGUGCCCAGGAUUGGUGCCUGGGGUCCUUUCUCAAGAUGCCUGUGAAUGUUAUGCAAGGUGGGGAGGUAUUUUAAGGGCUUGUUUCCUCCUCUAAUUCCCCAGUAUAGGGAUUGAUC